GACGCACGCUGGCGGCGUGCCUAAUACAUGCAAGUCGAACGCAUUUUCUUUCAACGUCACUUGCUACACCGAAAGAAAGUGAGUGGCGAACGGUUGAGUAACACGUUGGUAACCUGCCCAUCAGCGGUGGAUAACACUUGGUAACAGGUUCUAAUACCGCAUAAUUUCAUUUACCGCAUGGAAGAUGGAUGCAAGGCGCUUUUGCGUCGCUGAUGGAUUGAUCCGCGGUUCAGUAGCUAGGUGGUGGGGUAACGGCCUACCAAGGCUGCGAUGCAUAGCCGACCUGAGAGGGUGAUCGGCCACACUGGGACUGAGACACGGCCCAGACUCCUACGGGAGGCAGCAGUAGGGAAUCUUCGGCAAUGGACGCAAGUCUGACCGAGCAACGCCGCGUGAGUGAAGAAGGUUUUCGGAUUGUAAAACUCUGUUGUUAGAGAAGAACAAGGAUGAGAGUGGAAAGUUCAUCCCUUGACGGUAUCUAACCAGAAAGCCACGGCUAACUACGUG
RNAcentral lists this ribosomal RNA (507 nucleotides) under uncultured bacterium. Its description in RNAcentral is "partial 16S ribosomal RNA". It matches the Rfam family "Bacterial small subunit ribosomal RNA", at positions 28 to 507 of the family's 1533-position model. The record is from RNAcentral.